UCAUUAAAUCAGUUAUCGUUUAUUUGAUAGUCCCUUACUACUUGGAUAACCGUGGUAAUUCUAGAGCUAAUACAUGCUAAAAACCCCGACUUCCGAAGGGGUGUAUUUAUUAGAUAAAAAACCAAUGCCCUUCGGGGCUUCUUGGUGAAUCAUAAUAACUUAACGAAUCGCAUGGCCUUGUGCCGGCGAUGGUUCAUUCAAAUUUCUGCCCUAUCAACUUUCGAUGUUAAUGUAUUGGAUUAACAUGGUUUCAACGGGUAACGGGGAAUUAGGGUUCUAUUCCGGAGAGGGAGCCUGAGAAACGGCUACCACAUCCAAGGAAGGCAGCAGGCGCGCAAAUUACCCAAUCCCGACUCGGGGAGGUAGUGACAAUAAAUACUGAUACAGGGCUCUUUUGGGUCUUGUAAUUGGAAUGAGUACAAUUUAAAUCCCUUAACGAGGAACAAUUGGAGGGCAAGUCUGGUGCCAGCAGCCGCGGUAAUUCCAGCUCCAAUAGCGUAUAUUAAAGUUGUUGCAGUUAAAAAGCUCGUAGUUGAACCUUGGGCCUGGCUGGCCGGUCCGCCUCACCGCGUGCACUGGUCCGGCCGGGCCUUUCCUCCUGGGGAGCCGCAUGCCCUUCACUGGGUGUGUCGGGGAUCCAGGACUUUUACUUUGAAAAAAUUAGAGUGUUCAAAGCAGGCAUUUGCUCGGAUACAUUAGCAUGGAAUAAUGAAAUAGGACGUGUGGUCUUAUUUUGUUGGUUUCUAAGACCGCCGUAAUGAUUAAUAGGGAUAGUCGGGGGCAUCAGUAUUCGAUUGUCAGAGGUGAAAUUCUUGGAUUUAUUGAAGACUAACUACUGCGAAAGCAUUUGCCAAGGAUGUUUUCAUUAAUCAGUGAACGAAAGUUAGGGGAUCGAAGACGAUCAGAUACCGUCGUAGUCUUAACCAUAAACUAUGCCGACUAGGGAUCGGGCGAUGUUAUCUUUUUGACUCGCUCGGCACCUUACGAGAAAUCAAAGUCUUUGG
RNAcentral lists this ribosomal RNA (1004 nucleotides) under Bloxamia elongata. RNAcentral's name for it is "SSU rRNA". It matches the Rfam family "Eukaryotic small subunit ribosomal RNA", at positions 98 to 1110 of the family's 1831-position model. The record is from RNAcentral. Lineage: Eukaryota; Fungi; Ascomycota; Leotiomycetes; Helotiales; Bloxamiaceae.